RNAcentral lists this unclassified non-coding RNA (391 nucleotides) under soil metagenome. RNAcentral's name for it is "partial contains 5.8S ribosomal RNA, internal transcribed spacer 2, and large subunit ribosomal RNA". The stretch from base 1 to 122 matches the Rfam family "5.8S ribosomal RNA", at positions 35 to 154 of the family's 154-position model. The record is from RNAcentral.
GAUGAAGAACGUAGCGAAAUGCGAUACUUGGUGUGAAUUGCAGAAUCCCGUGAACCAUCGAGUCUUUGAACGCAAGUUGCGCCCGAAGCCAUUAGGCCGAGGGCACGCCCGCCUGGGCGUCACACGUCGUUGCCCCCCCAUCUACUCCUUCGGGAUUGCGGGGGGCGGAUGAUGGCCUCCCGUGCGCCUCGUCGCGCGGUUGGCAUAAAUGCCAAGUCCUCGGCGACGCACGCCACGACAAUCGGUGGUUGCGAAACCUCGGUUGCCCGUCGUGUGCGGUCGUCGCGCAUCGAGGGCUCGAAAAAAUUGCCGGGCUCCGGCUCGGCUUUCAACGCGACCCCAGGUCAGGCGGGGUUACCCGCUGAAUUUAAGCAUAUCAAUAAGCGGAGGA